This 4727-nucleotide long non-coding RNA is filed under the name Xyrichtys novacula (pearly razorfish). Lineage: Eukaryota; Metazoa; Chordata; Actinopteri; Labriformes; Labridae. The record is from RNAcentral.
GUUAGGGUUGGAGUUAGGGUUAGUGUUGGAGCUAGGGUUAGGGUUGGGCUUGGAGCUAGGAUUUUUCUGAGUGCCAUGAACCAACUCCCGAGUCUCUAGGACGUUCCUAAAAAAAUUGAUUUUUUCCCAUAGGAAUGCAUGGGUUAGGGUUAGGGUUAGGGUUGGAGCUAGGGUUAGGGUUAGGGUUAGGGUUGGAGUUAGGGUUAGUGUUGGAGCUAGGGUUAGGGUUGGGCUUGGAGCUAGGAUUUUUCUGAGUGCAAUGAACCAACUCCCGAGUCUCUAGGACGUUCCUAAAAAAAAUUGAUUUUUUUCCCAUAGGAAUGCAUGGGUUAGGGUUAGGGUUAGGGUUGGAGCUAGGGUUAGGGUUAGGGUUAGGGUUGGAGUUAGGGUUAGUGUUGGAGCUAGGGUUAGGGUUGGGCUUGGAGCUAGGAUUUUUCUGAGUGCCAUGAACCAACUCCCGAGUCUCUAGGACGUUCCUAAAAAAAAUUGAUUUUUUCCCAUAGGAAUGCAUGGGUUAGGGUUAGGGUUAGGGUUGGAGCUAGGGUUAGGGUUAGGGUUAGGGUUGGAGUUAGGGUUAGUGUUGGAGCUAGGGUUAGGGUUGGGCUUGGAGCUAGGAUUUUUCUGAGUGCAAUGAACCAACUCCCGAGUCUUUAGGACGUUCCAAAAAGAAUUUGAUUUUUUCCCUUUGGAAUGCAUGGGUUAGGGUUAGGGUUAGGGUUGGAGCUAGGGUUAGGGUUAGGGUUAGGGUUGGAGUUAGGGUUAGUGUUGGAGCUAGGUUUAGGGUUGGGCUUGGAGCUAGGAUUUUUCUGAGUGCCAUGAACCAACUCCCGAGUCUCUAGGACGUUCCUAAAAAAAAUUGAUUUUUUCCCAUAGGAAUGCAUGGGUUAGGGAUAGGGUUAGGGUUGGAGCUAGGGUUAGGGUUAGGGUUAGGGUUGGAGUUAGGGUUAGUGUUGGAGCUAGGGUUAGGGUUGGGCUUGAAGCUAGGAUUUUUCUGAGUGCAAUGAACCAACUCCCGAGUCUCUAGGACGUUCCUAAAAAAAUUUGAUUUUUUCCCAUAGGAAUGCAUGGGUUAGGGUUAGGGUUAGGGUUGGAGCUAGGGUUAGGGUUAGGGUUAGGGUUGGAGUUAGGGUUAGUGUUGGAGCUAGGGUUAGGGUUGGGCUUGGAGCUAGGAUUUUUCUGAGUGCAAUGAACCAACUCCCGAGUCUCUAGGACGUUCCUAAAAGAAUUUGAUUUUUUCCCUUAGGAAUGCAUGGGUUAGGGUUAGGGUUAGGGUUGGAGCUAGGGUUAGGGUUAGGGUUAGGGUUAGUGUUGGAGCUAGGGUUAGGGUUGGGCUUGGAGCUAGGAUUUUUCUGAGUGCAAUGAACCAACUCCCGAGUCUCUAGGACGUUCCUAAAAAAAUUUGAUUUUUUCCCAUAGGAAUGCAUGGGUUAGGGUUAGGGUUAGGGUUGGAGCUAGGGUUAGGGUUAGGGUUAGGGUUGGAGUUAGGGUUAGUGUUGGAGCUAGGGUUAGGGUUGGGCUUGGAGCUAGGAUUUUUCUGAGUGCAAUGAACUAACUCCCGAGUCUCUAGGACGUUCCUAAAAAAAUUUGAUUUUCUCCCAUAGGAAUGCAUGGGUUAGGGUUAGGGUUAGGGUUGGAGCUAGGGUUAGGGUUGGAGUUAGGGUUAGUGUUGGAGCUAGGGUUAGGGUUGGGCUUGGGGCUAGGAUUUUUCUGAGUGCAAUGAACCAACUCCCGAGUCUCUAGGACGUUCCUAAAAAAAUUUGAUUUUUUCCCAUAGGAAUGCAUGGGUUAGGGUUAGGGAUAGGGUUGGAGCUAGGGUUAGGGUUAGGGUUAGGGUUGGAGUUAGGGUUAGUGUUGGAGCUAGGGUUAGGGUUGGGCUUGGAGCUAGGAUUUUUCUGAGUGCAAUGAACCAACUCCCGAGUCUCUAGGACGUUCCUAAAAGAAUUUGAUUUUUUCCCUUAGGAAUGCAUGGGUUAGGGUUAGGGUUAGGGUUGGAGCUAGGGUUAGGGUUAGGGUUAGGGUUAGUGUUGGAGCUAGGGUUAGGGUUGGGCUUGGAGCUAGGAUUUUUCUGAGUGCAAUGAACCAACUCCCGAGUCUCUAGGACGUUCCUAAAAAAAUUUGAUUUUUUCCCAUAGGAAUGCAUGGGUUAGGGUUAGGGUUAGGGUUGGAGCUAGGGUUAGGGUUAGGGUUAGGGUUGGAGUUAGGGUUAGUGUUGGAGCUAGGGUUAGGGUUGGGCUUGGAGCUAGGAUUUUUCUGAGUGCAAUGAACUAACUCCCGAGUCUCUAGGACGUUCCUAAAAAAAUUUGAUUUUUUCCCAUAGGAAUGCAUGGGUUAGGAUUAGGGUUAGGGUUGGAGCUAGGGUUAGGGUUGGAGUUAGGGUUAGUGUUGGAGCUAGGGUUAGGGUUGGGCUUGGGGCUAGGAUUUUUCUGAGUGCAAUGAACCAACUCCCGAGUCUCUAGGACGUUCCUAAAAAAAUUUGAUUUUUUCCCAUAGGAAUGCAUGGGUUAGGGUUAGGGAUAGGGUUGGAGCUAGGGUUAGGGUUAGGGUUAGGGUUGGAGUAAGGGUUAGUGUUGGAGCUAGGAUCAGGGUUGGGCUUGGAGCUAGGAUUUUUCUGAGUGCAAUGAACCAACUCCCAAGUCUCUAGGACGUUCCUAAAAAAAAUUGAUUUUUUCCCAUAGGAAUGCAUGGGUUAGGGUUAGGGUUAGGGUUGGAGCUAGGGUUAGGGUUAGGGUUAGGGUUGGAGUUAGGGUUAGUGUUGGAGCUAGGGUUAGGGUUGGGCUUGGAGCUAGGAUUUUUCUGAGUGCCAUGAACCAACUCCCGAGUCUCUAGGACGUUCCUAAAAAAAAUUGAUUUUUUCCCAUAGGAAUGCAUGGGUUAGGGUUAGGGUUAGGGUUAGGGUUGGAGCUAGGGUCAGGGUUAGGGUUAGGGUUGGAGUUAGGGUUAGUGUUGGAGCUAGGGUUAGGGUUGGGCUUGGAGCUAGGAUUUUUCUGAGUGCAAUGAACCAACUCCCGAGUCUCUAGGACGUUCCUAAAAAAAUUUGAUUUUUCCCCAUAGGAAUGCAUGGGUUAGGGUUAGGGUUAGGGUUGGAGCUAGGGUUAGGGUUAGGGUUAGGGUUGGAGUUAGGGUUAGUGUUGGAGCUAGGUUUAGGGUUGGGCUUGGAGCUAGGAUUUUUCUGAGUGCCAUGAACCAACUCCCGAGUCUCUAGGACGUUCCUAAAAAAUUUGAUUUUUUCCCAUAGGAAUGCAUGGGUUAGGGUUAGGGUUAGGGUUGGAGCUAGGGUUAGGGUUAGGGUUAGGGUUGGAGUUAGGGUUAGUGUUGGAGCUAGGGUUAGGGUUGGGCUUGGAGCUAGGAUUUUUCUGAGUGCAAUGAACCAACUCCCGAGUCUCUAGGACGUUCCUAAAAAAUUUGAUUUUUUCCCAUAGGAAUGCAUGGGUUAGGGUUAGGGUUAGGGUUGGAGCUAGGGUUAGGGUUAGGGUUAGGGUUGGAGUUAGGGUUAGUGUUGGAGCUAGGGUUAGGGUUGGGCUUGGAGCUAGGAUUUUUCUGAGUGCAUGAACCAACUCCCGAGUCUCUAGGACGUUCCUAAAAAAUUGAGAGGGAUUUUUUCCCAUAGGAAUGCAUGGGUUAGGGUUAGGGUUAGGGUUGGAGCUAGGGUUAGGGUUAGGGUUAGGGUUGGAGUUAGGGUUAGUGUUGGAGCUAGGGUUAGGGUUGGGCUUGGAGCUAGGAUUUUUCUGAGUGCAAUGAACCAACUCCCGAGUCUCUAGGACGUUCCUAAAAAAUUUGAUUUUUUCCCAUAGGAAUGCAUGGGUUAGGGUUAGGGUUAGGGUUGGAGCUAGGGUUAGGGUUGGAGUUAGGGUUAGUGUUGGAGCUAGGGUUAGGGUUGGGCUUGGAGCUAGGAUUUUUCUGAGUGCAAUGAACCAACUCCCGAGUCUCUAGGACGUUCCUAAAAAAAUUUGAUUUUUUCCCAUAGGAAUGCAUGGGUUAGGGUUAGGGUUAGGGUUGGAGCUAGGGUUAGGGUUAGGGUUAGGGUUGGAGUUAGGGUUAGUGUUGGAGCUAGGGUUAGGGUUGGGCUUGGAGCUAGGAUUUUUCUGAGUGCAAUGAACCAACUCCCGAGUCUCUAGGACGUUCCUAAAAAAAUUGAUUUUUUCCCAUAGGAAUGCAUGGGUUAGGGUUAGGGUUAGGGUUGGAGCUAGGGUUAGGGUUAGGGUUAGGGUUGGAGUUAGGGUUAGUGUUGGAGCUAGGGUUAGGGUUGGGCUUGGAGCUAGGAUUUUUCUGAGUGCCAUGAACCAACUCCCGAGUCUCUAGGACGUUCCUAAAAAAAAUUGAUUUUUUCCCAUAGGAAUGCAUGGGUUAGGGUUAGGGUUAGGGUUGGAGCUAGGGUUAGGGUUAGGGUUAGGGUUGGAGUUAGGGUUAGUGUUGGAGCUAGGGUUAGGGUUGGGCUUGGAGCUAGGAUUUUUCUGAGUGCCAAUGAACCAACUCCCGAGUCUUUAGGACGUUCCUAAAAGAAUUUGAUUUUUUCCCUUUGGAAUGCAUGGGUUAGGGUUAGGGUUAGGGUUGGAGCUAGGGUUAGGGUUAGGGUUAGGGUUGGAGUUAGGGUUAGUGUUGGAGCUAGGUUUAGGGUUGGGCUUGGAGCUAGGAUUUUUCUGAGUGCCAUGAACCAACUCCCGAGUCUCUAGGACGUUCCUAAAAAAAAUUGAUUUUUUCCCAUAGGAAUGCAUGGGUUAGGGUUAGGG